GAUGAACGCUGGCGGCGUGCCUAAUACAUGCAAGUCGAGCGAACAGACGAGGAGCUUGCUCCUCUGACGUUAGCGGCGGACGGGUGAGUAACACGUGGAUAACCUACCUAUAAGGCUGGGAUAACUUCGGGAAACCGGAGCUAAUACCGGAUAAUAUAUUGAACCGCAUGGUUCAAUAGUGAAAGACGGUUCUGCUGUCACUUAUAGAUGGAUCCGCGCCGCAUUAGCUAGUUGGUAAGGUAACGGCUUACCAAGGCAACGAUGCGUAGCCGACCUGAGAGGGUGAUCGGCCACACUGGAACUGAGACACGGUCCAGACUCCUACGGGAGGCAGCAGUAGGGAAUCUUCCGCAAUGGGCGAAAGCCUGACGGAGCAACGCCGCGUGAGUGAUGAAGGUCUUCGGAUCGUAAAACUCUGUUAUUAGGGAAGAACAAAUGUGUAAGUAACUAUGCACGUCUUGACGGUACCUAAUCAGAAAGCCACGGCUAACUACGUG
Molecule: ribosomal RNA, 497 nt
Filed under: uncultured bacterium
Lineage: Bacteria
Description: partial 16S ribosomal RNA
Rfam family: Bacterial small subunit ribosomal RNA
Source: RNAcentral